CUGUCUGAAUAUGGGGGGACCAUCCUCCAAGGCUAAAUACUCCUGACUGACCGAUAGUGAACCAGUACCGUGAGGGAAAGGCGAAAAGAACCCCUGUGAGGGGAGUGAAAUAGAACCUGAAACCGUGUACGUACAAGCAGUAGGAGCACCUUCGUGGUGUGACUGCGUACCUUUUGUAUAAUGGGUCAGCGACUUAUAUUCAGUGGCAAGGUUAACCAUCUAGGGGAGCCGUAGGGAAACCGAGUCUUAACUGGGCGCCAUAGUCUCUGGAUAUAGACCCGAAACCGAGUGAUCUAGCCAUGGGCAGGUUGAAGGUUGAGUAACAUCAACUGGAGGACCGAACCGACUAAUGUUGAAAAAUUAGCGGAUGACUUGUGGCUAGGGGUGAAAGGCCAAUCAAACUCGGAGAUAGCUGGUUCUCCCCGAAAGCUAUUUAGGUAGCGCCUCGGACGAAUACUACUGGGGGUAGAGCACUGUUAAGGCUAGGGGGUCAUCCCGACUUACCAACCCUUUGCAAACUCCGAAUACCAGUAAGUACUAUCCGGGAGACACACGGCGGGUGCUAACGUCCGUCGUGGAGAGGGAAACAACCCAGACCGCCAGCUAAGGUCCCAAAUUACAGCUAAGUGGGAAACGAUGUGGGAAGGCUUAGACAGCUAGGAUGUUGGCUUAGAAGCAGCCAUCAUUUAAAGAAAGCGUAAUAGCUCACUAGUCGAGUCGGCCUGCGCGGAAGAUGUAACGGGGCUAAGUUGUAAACCGAAGCUGCGGCAAUGUUCUUUGAACAUUGGGUAGGGGAGCGUUCUGUAAGCCGUUGAAGGUGUGUUGUAAAGCAUGCUGGAGGUAUCAGAAGUGCGAAUGCUGACAUGAGUAACGACAAGGGGGGUGAAAAACCUCCCCGCCGGAAGACCAAGGGUUCCUGUCCAACGUUAAUCGGGGCAGGGUAAGUCGACCCCUAAGGCGAGGCCGAAAGGCGUAGUCGAUGGGAAACGGGUUAAUAUUCCCGUACUUCUUACAAUUGCGAUGGGGGGACGGAGAAGGCUAGGUGGGCCUGGCGACGGUUGUCCAGGUUCAAGUGCGUAGGCU
RNAcentral lists this ribosomal RNA (1083 nucleotides) under Vibrio vulnificus. Its description in RNAcentral is "partial 23S ribosomal RNA". It matches the Rfam family "Bacterial large subunit ribosomal RNA", at positions 434 to 1526 of the family's 2925-position model. The record is from RNAcentral. Lineage: Bacteria; Pseudomonadati; Pseudomonadota; Gammaproteobacteria; Vibrionales; Vibrionaceae.